This is a long non-coding RNA of Hyla sarda, 899 nucleotides long. RefSeq lists it as uncharacterized. The transcript is spliced from 3 exons. Lineage: Eukaryota; Metazoa; Chordata; Amphibia; Anura; Hylidae. The record is from RefSeq and is a predicted model, not a curated record.
CCAACCUAAUCCUCCUCCAUUCUCUUUCUCCCAAAGCCCCUGUGAGUGCCCACUCAUAGUCAUGGCCAUUCUGUACUGUUUGCCCACACAAGGCUGGAAUAGCCUUCCCCAAAGUGGGAUUAUAGUGAGGGUACAAGGCGUGUCCAGGACCUCCACCCCCCUGGUUUCCUAGGCUAGCUCUUCCAAUCCAGUACAAACCACUACAACCAGAUCUAAGGCACCGACGCGCAAGUAGACGCAAUGAGGGCUACUGACACCAUGUUCCUCUAUUCAUCUUGCAAAUAGGGGUGUUUACAGAGCAGGGAUUGUCUGUUGCUAGCAGAGGUCUCCAAAUUGUGAACCUCCAGCUGUCUGGGCAUGCUGUAAGUUGUAGUUUUGCAACAGCUGGAGGCCCACAGUUUGGAGACCACUGGAAUAAAGCAGGAAAAAAAUCUAGAAAAACUACGCAUUUCAUAGGAAAGAAGUAAAGAAAAAGCUUUUACCCACAUGUCAAGGUAACCCGAGGCCAGAUAAGGGGGUCAUCACUUACAGCCGCAUCAGAGACUGAUUCAUCGGCCGCUCAAACACCUUUCAUUAUGCAUUCUGCAGAUAAGCGCAAAGUAAUGGCCAUCAUUAAUGCCGCAAUUACUGACCGUCUGGCGCCAACAUCUUACCCAUCCAGAUAAUUACAUGUUUCUGGCUUCGCUGUGAAUAAAAAGCCUCAUGAUUCAGUCAAUAACCAUCGUCCAGAAGGUGAAGGCCGAAGUGAAAUCCUUACAGCCCGGGCGGUGACAUUUGUGGUGACGGAUACUUCAUCAGCUCCGUAGAUCACGUGAUCUUGUUUCUCUCACGACCUCUGACCUCCCAAUAAAUCUUCUGUUGACGCUCACUCCAUGGUGUCAUACAUAUUCCCGCGUGCA